GCUCAAAUGGCCUAGUGGUUAAAGCAUCCUCCUCAGAUGCGGGAAAUCGCAGGUUCGAACCCUGACCAAGUCA
Molecule: non-coding RNA, 73 nt
Organism: Potamilus streckersoni
Lineage: Eukaryota; Metazoa; Mollusca; Bivalvia; Unionida; Unionidae
Source: the annotation of a GenBank genome assembly